UGUCUCCUCCACCCUCCUCAUUGGUGUGGAUUAAGCCCGGAACCUGAGUGUCCGGGUUUUUUUUG
Herbaspirillum sp. YR522 is the source of this 65-nucleotide small RNA. It matches the Rfam family "Betaproteobacteria toxic small RNA". Rfam says of the family: Overexpression in amino aid rich medium attenuates growth, suggesting role in repressing amino acid intake and metabolism. The record is from Rfam. Lineage: Bacteria; Pseudomonadati; Pseudomonadota; Betaproteobacteria; Burkholderiales; Oxalobacteraceae.